GACAGAGGGUGCAACCGUUGUUCGGAAUUACUGGGCGUAAAGCGCGUGUAGGCGGCUUCGCAAGUCGGGUGUGAAAUCCCACGGCUCAACCGUGGAGGUGCAUUCGAAACUGCAAGGCUAGAGUCCUGGAGAGGAAGGUGGAAUGCUUGGUGUAGAGGUGAAAUUCGUAGAUAUCAAGCGGAACACCGGUGGCGAAGGCGACCUUCUGGACAGUGACUGACGCUGAGACGCGAAAGCGUGGGGAGCAAACAGG
This 253-nucleotide ribosomal RNA is filed under the name uncultured bacterium. RNAcentral describes it as "partial 16S ribosomal RNA". It matches the Rfam family "Bacterial small subunit ribosomal RNA", at positions 524 to 776 of the family's 1533-position model. The record is from RNAcentral.